Molecule: ribosomal RNA, 476 nt
Filed under: uncultured bacterium
Lineage: Bacteria
Description: partial 16S ribosomal RNA
Rfam family: Bacterial small subunit ribosomal RNA
Source: RNAcentral
GAUGAACGCUAGCGGCAGGCCUAACACAUGCCAGUCGAGGGAGAAGCCUUUCGGGGCAGAAACCGGCGCACGGGUGCGUAACGCGUAUGCAACCUACCUUUCACAGGGGGAUAGCCCGAAGAAAUUUGGAUUAAUACCCCAUAAUAUUGUUGGAUGGCAUCAUCUGAUAAUUAAAACUGCGGUGGUGAAAGAUGGGCAUGCGUCCUAUUAGCUAGUUGGAGUGGUAACGGCACCCCAAGGCUACGAUAGGUAGGGGUCCUGAGAGGGAGAUCCCCCACACUGGUACUGAGACAGGGACCAGACUCCUACGGGAGGCAGCAGUGAGGAAUAUUGGUCAAUGGUCGGAAGACUGAACCAGCCAUGCCGCGUGCAGGAAGAAUGCCUUAUGGGUUGUAAACUGCUUUUAUAUGGGAAGAAUAAGGUGUACGUGUACAUUGAUGACGGUACCAUAUGAAUAAGCAUCGGCUAACUCCGUG